UACGGGGGGAGCAAGCGUUGUUCGGAUUUACUGGGCGUAAAGGGCGCGUAGGCGGUCGUGACAAGUCACUUGUGAAAUCUCCGGGCUUAACUCGGAACGGUCAAGUGAUACUGUCGGACUAGGGUACAGAAGGGGCAACUGGAAUUCUCGGUGUAGCGGUGAAAUGCGUAGAUAUCGAGAGGAACACCUGCGGCGAAGGCGGGUUGCUAGGCCGACACUGACGCUGAAGCGCGAAAGCCAGGGGAGCAAACGGG
Molecule: ribosomal RNA, 254 nt
Filed under: uncultured bacterium
Lineage: Bacteria
Description: partial 16S ribosomal RNA
Rfam family: Bacterial small subunit ribosomal RNA
Source: RNAcentral